AUGUUAAACAUGAAAUUGUUGCUAUUGCACCUACGCAUGAUAGUCCUUAUCUUUUUGAAUUCUCCCUACUACCCUAUAUCAGAGAAGUUUGUGCUUAUGAAGGAUUAUAUUGAUGGGUUGCCUUUUACUACUACACAUGAUGAUUUUGAUGAAUAUAAUAUGCAUGUGCUUGCUGCUCCUACUUUCAAUUAUUAUGAGAGAGGAACUAUAUCUCCACCUCUCUAUGUUUCCAAUACGAUAGAAUUGAAAGAAACUGCUUAUACUAUGCAUUGGCCUUUACUAUGUGUGCAUGAAUUGUUGACAUGCCGAUGCAUAGGAAGAGAGUUAGACUUAUUCAUUGCUUGA
RNAcentral lists this ribosomal RNA (345 nucleotides) under Triticum aestivum (bread wheat). RNAcentral describes it as "partial small subunit ribosomal RNA". Lineage: Eukaryota; Viridiplantae; Streptophyta; Magnoliopsida; Poales; Poaceae. The record is from RNAcentral.